RNAcentral lists this ribosomal RNA (274 nucleotides) under uncultured bacterium. RNAcentral describes it as "partial 16S ribosomal RNA". It matches the Rfam family "Bacterial small subunit ribosomal RNA", at positions 523 to 796 of the family's 1533-position model. The record is from RNAcentral.
AUACGGAGGGUGCAAGCGUUAUUCGGAAUCACUGGGCGUAAAGGACGCGUAGGCGGGUUGGCAAGUCAGAUGUGAAAUCCUACAGCUUAACUGUAGAACUGCAUUUGAAACUGCUAACCUAGAGUAUGGGAGGGGGAGAUGGAAUUAGUGGUGCAGGGGUAAAAUCCGUAGAUAUCACUAGGAAUACCGAAAGCGAAGGCGAUCUCCUGGAACAUAACUGACGCUAAGGCGUGAAAGCGUGGGGAGCAAACAGGAUUAGAAACCCUAGUAGUCC